UCCGUAGGUGAACCUGCGGAAGGAUCAUUAUCGAGUUUUGACCGGGUUGUAGCUGGCCUUCCGAGGCAUGUGCACGCCCUGCUCAUCCACUCUACACCUGUGCACUUACUGUGGGCUUCAGAUCGCGAGGCAGGCUCUUUACCGGGCUUGCGGAGCGCAUCUGUGCCUGCGUUUAUCACAAACUCUAUGAAGUAACAGAAUGUGUAUUGCGAUGUAACGCAUCUAUAUACAACUUUCAGCAACGGAUCUCUUGGCUCUCGCAUCGAUGAAGAACGCAGCGAAAUGCGAUAAGUAAUGUGAAUUGCAGAAUUCAGUGAAUCAUCGAAUCUUUGAACGCACCUUGCGCUCCUUGGUAUUCCGAGGAGCAUGCCUGUUUGAGUGUCAUGAAAUCUUCAACCUACAAGCUUUUGUGGUUUGUAGGCUUGGACUUGGAGGCUUGUCGGCCGUUAUUGGUCGACUCCUCUUAAAUGCAUUAGCUUGGUUCCUUGCGGAUCGGCUUUCGGUGUGAUAAUGUCUACGCCGCGACCGUGAAGCGUUUGGCGAGCUUCUAACCGUCUUAUAGACAGCUUUAUGACCUCUGAUCUCAAAUCAGGUAGGACUACCCGCUGAACUUAAGCAUAUCAAUAAGCGGAGGA
Molecule: ribosomal RNA, 635 nt
Filed under: Ganoderma curtisii
Lineage: Eukaryota; Fungi; Basidiomycota; Agaricomycetes; Polyporales; Polyporaceae
Description: eukaryotic LSU rRNA
Rfam family: 5.8S ribosomal RNA (bases 231-384)
Source: RNAcentral